Molecule: small RNA, 87 nt
Filed under: Flavobacterium sp. 9AF
Lineage: Bacteria; Pseudomonadati; Bacteroidota; Flavobacteriia; Flavobacteriales; Flavobacteriaceae
Description: Flavo-1 RNA
Rfam family: Flavo-1 RNA
Source: Rfam by way of RNAcentral
UUUUAGCGUUAAGGAUGGGAACGGCAUCCUUUUAAUUUGCUUGGAUUUUAAGCAAAUUAAAAGAUAUAGUGGACAGCCUGACCUUGU